RNAcentral lists this ribosomal RNA (507 nucleotides) under uncultured bacterium. RNAcentral describes it as "bacterial SSU rRNA". It matches the Rfam family "Bacterial small subunit ribosomal RNA", at positions 791 to 1304 of the family's 1533-position model. The record is from RNAcentral.
UAGUCCACGCCGUAAACGAUGAUUACUCGCUGUAGGCGAUACACAGUCUGUGGCUAAGCGAAAGUUUUAAGUAAUCCACCUGGGGAGUACGAUCGCAAGAUUGAAACUCAAAGGAAUUGACGGGGGCCCGCACAAGCGGAGGAACAUGUGGUUUAAUUCGAUGAUACGCGAGGAACCUUACCUGGACUUAAAUGUAGAUUGCAUAGCUUAGAGAUAGGCUUUUCUUCGGACUAUUUACAAGGUGCUGCAUGGUUGUCGUCAGCUCGUGCCGUGAGGUGUUGGGUUAAGUCCCGCAACGAGCGCAACCCUUAUCACUAGUUGCCAGCAUUUAAGGUGGGGACUCUAGUGAGACUGCCGGCGUAAGCCGUGAGGAAGGUGGGGAUGACGUCAAAUCAUCAUGGCCUUUAUGCCUAGGGCUACACACGUGCUACAAUGGCGAGUACAGAGGGUAGCGAAGCCGUAAGGUGGAGCCAAUCUCAUAAAACUCGUCCCAGUUCGGAUUGAAGU